RNAcentral lists this ribosomal RNA (505 nucleotides) under uncultured Bacillota bacterium. Its description in RNAcentral is "bacterial SSU rRNA". It matches the Rfam family "Bacterial small subunit ribosomal RNA", at positions 355 to 851 of the family's 1533-position model. The record is from RNAcentral. Lineage: Bacteria; Bacillati; Bacillota.
UAGGGAAUCUUCCGCAAUGGACGAAAGUCUGACGGAGCAACGCCGCGUGAGUGAUGAAGGUUUUCGGAUCGUAAAGCUCUGUUGUUAGGGAAGAACAAGUGCGAGAGUAACUGCUCGCACCUUGACGGUACCUAACCAGAAAGCCACGGCUAACUACGUGCCAGCAGCCGCGGUAAUACGUAGGUGGCAAGCGUUGUCCGGAAUUAUUGGGCGUAAAGGGCUCGCAGGCGGUUUCUUAAGUCUGAUGUGAAAGCCCCCGGCUCAACCGGGGAGGGUCAUUGGAAACUGGGAAACUUGAGUGCAGAAGAGGAGAGUGGAAUUCCACGUGUAGCGGUGAAAUGCGUAGAGAUGUGGAGGAACACCAGUGGCGAAGGCGACUCUCUGGUCUGUAACUGACGCUGAGGAGCGAAAGCGUGGGGAGCGAACAGGAUUAGAUACCCUGGUAGUCCACGCCGUAAACGAUGAGUGCUAAGUGUUAGGGGGUUUCCGCCCGUUAGUGCUGCAG